GAUGAACGCUGGCGGCGUGCUUAACACAUGCAAGUCGAACGCUCAAACACCAGGUUUCUUGUGUUGAUGAUUGGCGCACGCGUGAGUAAUACGUGAGUAACCUGCCCUUGACUCUCGGAUAAGCCCUCGGAACUGGGGCGAAUACUGGAUGCUACAUGUCACCGCAUGUUGUUGUGUGGAAAAGGUUUACUUGUCUUGGAUUUGCUCACGGCCUAUCAGCUUGUUGGCUAGUUAAUGCGUAACCAAGGCGACGACGCGUAGCUGGCCUGCGAAGGUGACCGGCGACACUGGGACUGAGGGACGGCACAGACACCUAAGGGAGGGAGAAGGGGGGAAGAUUGAACGAGGGGCGAAGGCUGGAUGCAGAGACGCCGCGUGAGGGAUGACGGCCUUAGGGGUGUAAAACAAUUUUAGAAGGGAAGAAGCAACAAGUGACGGUACCUGCAGAAGAAGCGACGGCUAACUACGUG
RNAcentral lists this ribosomal RNA (470 nucleotides) under uncultured bacterium. Its description in RNAcentral is "partial 16S ribosomal RNA". It matches the Rfam family "Bacterial small subunit ribosomal RNA", at positions 28 to 507 of the family's 1533-position model. The record is from RNAcentral.